GGCCGGUUAGCUCAGUCAGUUGAGCGUGGCACUGACAACACCGAGGUCGUGGGUUUGAUUCCCGCUCGGUCC
RNAcentral lists this transfer RNA (72 nucleotides) under Apaloderma vittatum (bar-tailed trogon). It matches the Rfam family "tRNA". From Rfam's summary of the family: Transfer RNA (tRNA) molecules are approximately 80 nucleotides in length. Lineage: Eukaryota; Metazoa; Chordata; Aves; Trogoniformes; Trogonidae. The record is from Rfam by way of RNAcentral.